Fundulus heteroclitus (mummichog) is the source of this 633-nucleotide long non-coding RNA. RefSeq lists it as uncharacterized. The transcript is spliced from 5 exons. The record is from RefSeq and is a predicted model, not a curated record. Lineage: Eukaryota; Metazoa; Chordata; Actinopteri; Cyprinodontiformes; Fundulidae.
ACUCUUCUAGGACGCAAUCCACAACUUUCAGCCAGUCCGCAGACUGACGAGAAGAAACUGCUGAUUGCUAUCAGUGGACUGUCUCGUCAGCUUACUCAACAUACUGCCGACAUGAAUGAGAGGUUCACUCAACUGCAGAAUUCGGUAAACUCCAGGUUGCUGUCCAUAGAGGACAAGAUGGCGGCUCUGCAGUCGAAGAACUGUGCGGGAGAGACUAACUCCAAGAAGAGAAGACGGAUGCACAAAAGCUUGCGUACGCCGUCUUCACAACUCGGAGACAAAUUGCAGGCGCUAUGAACCGGCGCAAGGACUAAGCACGCCUCAUAAUGAGGCAGUUACCUCCUAUCUGCUCGGAGCAAUAACUGCAAGCCUCGAUUUACACUAUAUUGAUAAAGACGACAUUGUGUCCGCCUGUAAGACGUAUUACGAGACGGUACGCAGGAGCUUCAGAUAUACGCAGCCAGAGAACUCAAUGCGGGCGGAAGCUGCCAAGAAUUCAGCUCGGAGUCGAGCGAGAAGAAAGAGGCUGCAGGAAUCGAGGCAGAGCGUGCUAGCUGAUGAGGAAGUGGAACUCUGGAUGUCCGCCACCGUCGACCUCAUGUCUGACGAGGAAGAUGGCGUCGUUGGCGGGGU